AUGACAGACCGCAACCACAACCUCACGAUCCUAAACUGGAAUGUUCGGGGCCUAAACUGCCCUGACCGCCGCACUACCGUUCAUGAGACCAUCGCCUCUACGCCUUGCCAUAUCGUUUGCCUCCAGGAAUCCAAAAUGGAAUCAAUAUAUGAUUAUACUGCAGCCCACAUUGGUGGCCACAGACUUAAGAGUUUCGCCCAGCGCCCGGCUGAGGGCACGCGUGGUGGCAUCCUUCUGCUAUGGGAUGAUGAGGUGGUCCAUCUAUCCAACGUCCACUUUCGAGCGUUCACCCUUUCAGCCACGAUUACUUUGUACCCCGAGAGCCCCGCUCCUGUUUCCUUCAAGCUAACCAUGGUAUAUGGACCGACUAGAAGUAACCUCAAGGAUGCCUUCUUCGCCGAACUUGUCGCUGAAAAGCCACCCCCGGGUACCAUGUGGUUGUCGGAUUAA
Molecule: ribosomal RNA, 450 nt
Filed under: Triticum aestivum (bread wheat)
Lineage: Eukaryota; Viridiplantae; Streptophyta; Magnoliopsida; Poales; Poaceae
Description: partial small subunit ribosomal RNA
Source: RNAcentral